Molecule: ribosomal RNA, 3005 nt
Filed under: Acidobacteriota bacterium
Lineage: Bacteria; Pseudomonadati; Acidobacteriota
Description: Acidobacteria bacterium (wastewater metagenome) 23S ribosomal RNA
Rfam family: Bacterial large subunit ribosomal RNA
Source: RNAcentral
GGUCAAGCUACUAAGGGCGUACGGUGGAUGCCUUGGCGCGGAGAAGCGAUGAAGGACGCAGCAGGCUGCGAUAAGCCCCGGUGAGCCGCGAGCGGGCUUUGACCCGGGGAUUUCCGAAUGGGGAAACCCGGCCAGGUUCAUGCCUGGUCACUCCCUCCUGAAUCCAUAGGGAGGGCAGAGCGAACGGGGGGAAUUGAACCAUCUCAGUACCCCCAGGAAGAGAAAGCAACCGCGAUUCCCUGAGUAGUGGCGAGCGAAAGGGGAACAGCCUAAACCGGCGGCGUGCCAAGUCCGUGAGCAUUGCGUUGCCGGUGUCGUGGGAUCGAGCCGGACUCCGUCACGGCGGGGUCGGGAAGUCAGAAACCGAGAAGCUAGCUGAACGGUCUGGAACGGCCGGCCAUAGGAGGUAAAAGCCCUGUAGGCGAAAGCUUCGAGGCUUCCUGGGCUCGCGUCCCGAGUACCACGGGGCACGAGAAACCCUGUGGGAAUCUGGGAGGACCAUCUUCCAAGGCUAAACAUUCCUCCGCGACCGAUAGUGAACUAGUACCGUGAGGGAAAGGCGAAAAGAACCCCUGCUAGGGGAGUGAAAUAGAACCUGAAACCGUAUGCCUACAAGCAGUGGGAGGGCUAUGGCCUUCGGGCAAGGCCUGACCGCGUGCCUUUUGCAUAAUGAGCCGGCUAGUUACUCUCGGCGGCAAGGUUAAGCGAUAAGCCAGCCGAAGCGAAAGCGAGUCCUAAUAGGGCGUCGAGUCGCCGGGAGUAAACGCGAAGCUGAGUGAUCUACCCUUGGCCAGGGUGAAGCGUGGGUAACACCACGUGGAGGCCCGAACCAGUGUGGGUUGAAAACCGCUUGGAUGAGCUGAGGGUAGGGGUGAAAGGCCAAUCAAACUCAGAUAUAGCUCGUUCUCCCCGAAAUAGCUUUAGGGCUAGCCUCACGCGUUCCUUUUCGGUGGUAGAGCACUCUUUGGACUAGGGGGUGUGACAACCUACCGAAUCCAUGGAAACUCCGAAUGCCGAAAAGCUCAGCGUGGGAGUCAGACAGUGACGGAUAAGCGCCAUUGUCGAGAGGGGAACAACCCAGACCGCCAGCUAAGGUCCCGAAAUCCAGGCUAAGUGGUAAAGGAUGUGGGGUUGCGCUGACAGCUAGGAGGUUGGCUUAGAAGCAGCCAUCCUUCAAAGAAAGCGUAACAGCUCACUAGUCGAGCGACCCUGUGCCGAUAAUGUAACGGGGCUCAAGCCUGGUACCGAAGCUGCGGAUUCGAACUUCGGUUCGAAUGGUAGGGGAGCGUUCCGUGAGAGAUACACGUCGGACCGGCAAGGACCGAUAGCGGCUCACGGAAGAGACUCUGCCGGCACAAGUAGCGAUAAACGGUGUGAGAAUCGCCGUCGCCGAAAGUCUAAGGUUUCCUGAGGAAGGUUCGUCCUCUCAGGGUGAGUCGGAACCUAAGGUGAGGCCGAAAGGCGUAGCCGAUGGGCAGCAGGUCAACAUUCCUGCACCGCUUUGACGAGCGAUGGGGUGACGCAGGAGGCUAGGCGAACCGGGCCAGUGGUCGAGCCCGGCCCCGAGUGUAGGGGGGUUCCCCAGGCAAAUCCGGGGAACCGCUAACCCUGAGGCAAGGGGGGAAGUGCGGCCUUGUGCCAAACGAACUCGCUGAAGCCACGCUGCCAGGAAAAACCUCUAGCGUUAAUCGUCAGGGCGUCCGUACCGCAAACCGACACUGGUAGACGGGGAGAGAAUCCUCAGGCGCGUGAGUGAACUCUCGCUAAGGAACUCGGCAAGUUAGCCCCGUAACUUCGGGAUAAGGGGUGCCCCGCCAGGGUGAGGAGACUUGCUCUCCAGGCCCGAGGGGGCCGCAGUGAAAGGGCCCAGGCGACUGUUUAACAAAAACACAGCACUCUGCUAAGUCGAAAACGACGUAUAGGGUGUGACGCCUGCCCGGUGCCGGAAGGUUAAGAGGAGGGGUCAGCCGCAAGGCGAAGCUCCGAAUCGAAGCCCCGGUAAACGGCGGCCGUAACUAUAACGGUCCUAAGGUAGCGAAAUUCCUUGUCGGGUAAGUUCCGACCUGCACGAAUGGCGUAACGAUCUGGGCGCUGUCUCGGCGAGAGGCUCAGCGAAUCUGUAGCACCUGUGAAGAUGCAGGUUACCCGCGACUAGACGGAAAGACCCUGUGAACCUUUACUGCACCCUGGCAGUGGAAUUCGGUGCGACAUGUGCAGGAUAGGUGGGAGGCGUUGAAGCUAGGCCGUCAGGCCUGGUGGAGCCAACGGUGAGAUACCACCCUUGUCGCUCUGAGUUUCUAACCUAGGGCCCUGAAUCGGGCCCAGGGACAUUGUCAGGCGGGUAGUUUGACUGGGGCGGUCGCCUCCCAAAAUGUAACGGAGGCGUGCGAAGGUUCCCUCAGGCUGUUUGGAAAUCAGCCGUAGAGUGCAAAGGCAUAAGGGAGCCUGACUGCGAGACCUACAAGUCGAGCAGACGCGAAAGCGGGCCUUAGUGAUCCGGCGGUCCCGCAUGGAAGGGCCGUCGCUCAACGGAUAAAAGGUACUCCGGGGAUAACAGGCUGAUCCCGCCCAAGAGUCCACAUCGACGGCGGGGUUUGGCACCUCGAUGUCGGCUCAUCGCAUCCUGGGGCUGAAGCAGGUCCCAAGGGUUCGUCUGUUCGCCGAUUAAAGCGGUACGUGAGCUGGGUUCAGAACGUCGCGAGACAGUUCGGUCCCUAUCUGUCGUGGGCGCAGGAAACUUGAAGGGAUGGCUCCCUAGUACGAGAGGACCGGGAGCCACGGACCUCUAGUGUACCGGUUGUCCCGCCAGGGGCAGCGCCGGCUAGCUAUGUCCGGAAAGGAUAAGCGCUGAAUGCAUAUAAGCGCGAAGCCCCCCCUGAGAUGAGGUUUCCCGGACCGCAAGGUCCCUGAAGACCCCUCGUAGACGACGAGGUUGAUAGGCCGGAGGUGUAAGCGGGGAGACCCGUUGAGCCCACCGGUACUAAUCGGUCGAGAGGCUUGACCUU